This 1201-nucleotide long non-coding RNA is filed under the name Homo sapiens (human). Its description in RNAcentral is "HSALNT0036875". The record is from RNAcentral. Lineage: Eukaryota; Metazoa; Chordata; Mammalia; Primates; Hominidae.
AUUUUCCCCAAUUGUAGUGAUCAUUUUCAAAUCUGUCAGUCCGGGCUUCCAGCCAGGAUGGGGGUUCUCUAAUAUUGCCACUGAUUUUUUGGUAUCCAAGGCUGGUAGAUGGCAUUCACAGACCACUCACCUCUCCCAGCUGCAGCCACCCAGCUCCUCCCUGGUCCACCAGCAUCCUGGGAAUCACCUGGAACCUAAUGGAGAAGUGGACAGCACUCCCAGCCCCACCAACUUCCCGGCCUUGUGGAUAUCUCCGGAUAAAAGGGAACUCCCUUUCAUGUGAUUGAGGACACGCUACUCUUCCUUGGAUACAUCACAGUUGCUAAUUGCCUCUUAGCGCUUAGCCCUCCACUUUCAAAUCGGGAAGGUACUCCAUGGAUUCAGCUGCCUGGGAAUCCCUCUUGUCCAUGAGUAUGACUAUGUCAUGGGUUCUCAAGUUGGACUGAGAAUCUUCUGUGGAUUUUAUAAGAAACGCAGAUCCCUGGGCUUAAUCCCAGGCCUACUGAAUAAGUACUGCUUAUGAAUGGAGCCCGGUGAUCUGCAUUUUAACAAGCUCUCCAGCCAUAUCUGAUGCAUGGAAACGUCUGAGACCCAUUGGCUUACGAGGCACGUUGCUUUCUAAAGAAUAGGUUAUUCUUUUUAUUUGAAAUAAGUGAUAAACACAUGUGAUACUGAAAUAUUAAAAUUGUUCCAAAUGAAAUGCAGAAUCAUUAAUCAUUGGUAAUUUAUCCCACUACUAUCCCUUUCAUAGGGACAGCCACUGUUACCAGUUUCUGGUAAUGCUUUGCCCAGUUUUAAGAUUACAAUCACAACUUUCAUUUUGUUUUACACUUGCCUGGCAUUCUUUUUCUCAUCUUUAUAGUUUUGAGCAUUCUAUGUCAUUUUUUUGGGUAGUGGGUGGUUUGGGAGCAUCUUGUAUAUACAUUAUAAUUGGGUUUUGCUUUGAAACCCAAUGAGUCUUUCUACGUUUCACAGACUAACCCAUUUUAUCUUUAUUUAUAUGGUAGGUAUUUCUUAGUUUUAUAAGCAUAUUUUAUUCAAUGUUUUCUGGUUUUUAUUUUUAAUAAUUUUCUUUUUGUAGUCCAUUUUGUUAGCAUAGGGUUUCUUUUUGAGAAAAUGAAAGUUUUGCAUUUUAAUGUUUUAUAGCAGUGGUAAGGGGGUAAAUGUUUAACAACCUGCUCUUCAGAAAAAUGUAUAUAGC